This 245-nucleotide small nuclear RNA is filed under the name Lynx canadensis (Canada lynx). RNAcentral describes it as "U2 spliceosomal RNA (ENSLCNG00005016639.1)". The stretch from base 1 to 209 matches the Rfam family "U2 spliceosomal RNA". From Rfam's summary of the family: U2 is a small nuclear RNA (snRNA) component of the spliceosome (involved in pre-mRNA splicing). Complementary binding between U2 snRNA (in an area lying towards the 5' end but 3' to hairpin I) and the branchpoint sequence (BPS) of the intron results the bulging out of an unpaired adenosine, on the BPS, which initiates a nucleophilic attack at the intronic 5' splice site, thus starting the first of two transesterification reactions that mediate splicing. Lineage: Eukaryota; Metazoa; Chordata; Mammalia; Carnivora; Felidae. The record is from Rfam by way of RNAcentral.
AUCGCUUCUCGGCCUUUUGGCUAAGAUCAAGUGUAGAACUUGCUUGGGAUUCUCUCUCUCUCCCCCUUUCUCUGCCCCUCCCUCUCCUUCUCUCAAAAUAAUUAAAUAAUAACAAUAAAUAAAGAUAAUAAAAAGUUUCAAAAAAAUUUUUUUAAGUUUCUUUUUUUUUUUUUUUAAUGUUUAUUUUUGUUUUGAGAGAGAGACAGCAUGAGCAGGGGAGGGGCAGAGAGAGAGGGAGACACAAA